Molecule: unclassified non-coding RNA, 191 nt
Filed under: uncultured Glomeraceae
Lineage: Eukaryota; Fungi; Glomeromycota; Glomeromycetes; Glomerales; Glomeraceae
Description: sequence contains ITS2
Source: RNAcentral
GCUAAAUAAAAAUCGGUGUUGUUGCUGCCUUUCGUGGUGACGCGUCGGAAUUGAGUCGUCUUGUCUUCGGUUAAGUGACUUAAAAAUUUUAUGAUUUUCGAACGUAUUUAAAUUGCUUACGUACGUUUGAGAUAUCGAAUAUUUUAUUAGGUUCGGUCAUCCUUAUGACUCGCGCCUAUAAUUUUUUCAUU